CCCUUAGAUGUUCUGGGCCGCACGCGCGCUACACUGAUGCAUUCAACGAGUUUCUUCCUGGUCCGAGAGGAAUGGGUAACCUUUUGAAAGUGCAUCGUGAUAGGGAUAGACUAUUGCAAUUAUUGGUCUUCAACGAGGAAUUCCUAGUAGACGUAGUUCAUCAGACUGCAUCGAUUACGUCUCUGCCCUUUGUACACACCGCCCGUCGCUCCUACCGAUUGAAUGAUCCGGUGAAUAAUUCGGACCGAUGCAGUGCUCAGCUUCUGAACUUUGCAUUGGAAAGUUUAGUGAACCUUAUCACUUAGAGGAAGGAGAAGUCGUAACA
RNAcentral lists this ribosomal RNA (325 nucleotides) under uncultured eukaryote. RNAcentral describes it as "partial 18S ribosomal RNA". It matches the Rfam family "Eukaryotic small subunit ribosomal RNA", at positions 1470 to 1796 of the family's 1831-position model. The record is from RNAcentral.